RNAcentral lists this long non-coding RNA (1088 nucleotides) under Citrus maxima (pomelo). RNAcentral describes it as "long non-coding RNA (CMAX_LNC000057)". Lineage: Eukaryota; Viridiplantae; Streptophyta; Magnoliopsida; Sapindales; Rutaceae. The record is from RNAcentral.
CUCCCUAUGAUGUAUGUAAAUGUGAAAGAGUGACAAAUGUUCGCUCGUUGAUGAUAUAAAAAGCAACCAAGUCCACAGAUUUAUCUUCUGCUCAAUAUCCCAUAUGUAAUACAUUCAGAGUGCAUAAUCUCUCACAACACAACAUCAAUCCAAGAAUAGUGAGUGAGUGGCCAACUGCACCAUGAGUGACCCUAAAUAUGCUUAUCCUUAUCCUGCUCAAGGUACCUUAUUUGUUGUUAUUAUUUUAUCAUUGAUCUGUUCUGGAAAAAUGCUUUCUUUGUGAUUUUCUGUGUUAAAAAAAAAAAAAAAAAAACACACACACAUAUAAAUAUACCCUUUUAAUUACGAUUGAGGAGAAGUGUUAAUGAAUUGAUAAUUUUGUGAUGGCGUGCAGGAUAUUAUCAAGGACCCCCAGUGAUGGCACCUCCUCAGUAUGCAGCAGCUCCACCACCCAGGAGAGAGCCUGGUUUCCUUGAGGGAUGGUAAGUAAUUAUCUAUUUCCAUUUCAUGCAUGUUCUCUUAUGCAUAUCUGCUCAUGUUUCUUUAUUUUUCUUUAGAAUUGGGUUUAUAUUUGUAUGAUCUAAUCUCUCUCUCUCUCUCUCUUUUUAAUUUUUCAUUUGUUUUGGGCUGUAUGCUGUUGCGGUUAUAUGCUGUUGCAGUUUGGCUGCUUUAUGUUGCUGCUGCCUUCUUGACGAGUGCUGCUGCGAUCCCUCUAUAAUCUUUAUCGACUAAUUAAUGAUGAUGAUAAUAAUAAUAAUAAUAAUCCGGUAAUUUCAGUGUUAGUAAUUUCACCUACUUUAUGUCUAUUGGAAUAUAUAUAGUGUCAAUGAUGAACUUGCCUGAAGCAUGAACUUGCUCAUUUCUGGGGUCAUUAUAAAUUUUUUUGCCUUUUUUUUUAAAAAAUUUUUCUAUCUGUUAGAGUCGUUCAUGCAAUUCAGGAGGAUUUCCGCUAGGAUUUGCUCUGGGUGUAAUGUUGGUCUUGGUGCUUGAUUGUAUAACUUUUUUUUUCCCCCCUUGAAAUUUUCAUUUUGUGGGUUGAUAAUAAGAAGGUAAGAAAAUUAUGGUCCUUGUGGAUCAAUAUUUUGUGG